UAUAUCCGUCCACUGUCUAUGACGCAACAACCGGCCAAUACCGUGUCGCAAAAGUUUGACGAACUCGCUGCGGGUGAGUUCUCAACUGUUGCUUCCCCUCCUCGAUAUGAGAGCCAAGUGGCGAAAGAAACGCAUGCGCAGACUGAAGCGUAAAAGGAGAAAGAUGAGGCAGAGGUCCAAGUGAGCUGCCCCCUUCCUCGUGGCUGAGUCGCGGCUCGCGGUCAGCAUGAUAACAGCUGCUGAACCGGAACUAAGACGAUUCUCAUCUGACUGAGGCCAGUGGCGUUCACGCCUGUCCAAGUCUGUGGAGGAAGCAAACCUGGAGGGAAGACCACAUGCUGGACAUUUGUUUUGCGACAUUGUGAACUCUACAUUCUCUAACUUUUGUCAUGUGUUGUUCUUUAUACUAUGAUUAAAGUUUUGGUUUAAAAAACAAAAAA
Oryzias latipes (Japanese medaka) is the source of this 440-nucleotide non-coding RNA. The record is from RefSeq and is a predicted model, not a curated record. Lineage: Eukaryota; Metazoa; Chordata; Actinopteri; Beloniformes; Adrianichthyidae.